Molecule: long non-coding RNA, 8091 nt
Organism: Mobula hypostoma (lesser devil ray)
Lineage: Eukaryota; Metazoa; Chordata; Chondrichthyes; Myliobatiformes; Myliobatidae
Exons: 3
Source: RefSeq, a predicted model, not a curated record
AAGAGGUCCCAAUUAUCCUGAAAUCUGAAACCCUGCUCCCUGCACCAGUUCCUCAGCCACUUGUUCAUCCUCUUUAUUGUUCCUAAAUAUCUUCAGGUUAGUUUGAUCACAUUGCCUCUAAAUAAGCUGUGUCCUCAAGACAUCUCUCUUGGGUUUGAAGACCUGUGGAGGUCUUCCAUUCUAAUUGAGUUCUAAUAUGAUAAUGCCAUCAGUAUUCCUCUUUAAGAUAAAUCAGAAAAUGCACAGAUGCCAUGUAACAGAUUUCCUUCAUCAGAAGUAUCAGAUGCUGGCGACUGUAGAGGAUUUUUGUGCUCUUGUUUGUAAUUCUAGUGCUGUACUUAAGGAGUUAUACUCAAAUGUCUCUGCUGAAAAUGCUAAUACAUCAAAUUCAGGCUCCAUGCACUAUACUAAGUGGAGUUAAUUGUUGAAGAAUUUGAAAAUCUACUAUUCUGGUCUAUACUGUUUCCUGGAUUGGCAAUGGUGGUUCAUGGCUAAGUUAAUAAGUCAAGAGGCUUGAACAGAAGCUCAGGAGACACAAUUCAAAACCAACUAUGGCAGCUGGGGAAAUCUAAACUAUUAACGUUAAAGAAAUAAAAACCAACACAUGAUCAUGAAACAAAUCUUGUUUGCUCAUGUCCUUUAGGGAAGGAAAUACAUUAUCAUUAUCUAGUCUCUCCUUCAUGUGACUAAACCCCCAGCAACAUUUUAGACACUUCACUCCCAUGAGAUGCCUGAUUUGGAAUUCAUCAGUCCCUUCAAGGAUUAGGGAUGGGCAUUUAAGUUUGACCUUUUGGUCUUCUAUCCUUCUGAGAGAACAAAAUAAGUAUCCAUCUUAUUAUGUAACAAAAUGCCUGUCACAACUAUACAAGAACGGUAUUUUGUUGUUUUUAGGAAGAGUUUCACUAUAUAUCUGAAAGCCAAAAUAGUGAUCCAUUUCACUGAAUUCAGUCAUUACAAGAAUCUGAAACUACAAAGCCUAAUUCGUGCCCCGUUAAUGUUAAAUACAGAGAACAAGGAAAAGAAAAAUAAAUUGGGUAGUUGACAAUUAAAAUACCUAUUGCAUACACAAAUGAGGAUAUAUUGACUUUUUCAGUUCCUCUUUUGAUAAUUACACCAAUAAUGUUGCUAUGGCAAUAUAUUGAGCCUACAUGAGCUUGCUAUAUAAUCUUACUGCAACCCACUGUGCAAAGACUUGUCUUUUUUUGAUGAUCCACUUACUUCAACUGAAGGCAAAAUUGUUUCUUUAAAUAUAUACUGUACAUUUCUCCAUCCACUUUAUUUUUUGCUCUCUGCACAAACUGGGGAGAGGAGUGUUACAUCAAACCACAUAUUGUUCCUGAGAAGUUUCUAUCGUGAAUAAAAUAUUUAAUUUUUAUGUAUUCUUUUACAGAAAGCAGCAUAAAUUUGUGUAGUCUGCAGAAGAAAAGCUCACUUCAUCCUGGUGUCUUAUUUCCCAGAGGAAGACAAGACUUAAGUAAUACCUCCAACGACAUAUAGCAUAGAUGGAUGGUAUGGCCUCCACAGAACCCUGAUCUCAACAUCAUCGAGACUGUCUGGGAUUAUCUGGAGAGACAGAAGCAAACGAGACAACCAAAAUCUGAAGAUGAACCAUGGCAAGUUCUCCAAGAUGCUUGGAACAACCUACCAGCCAACUUUCUUAAAAAAGUGCAUGAUAUUGUACCCAAGAGAAUUGAUUCAGUUUUAAAGACAAAGGAUGGUCACGACAAAUAUUGAUUUGAUUUAGUUUUUUUUUAACUGUUUACUGCUCUUUAUAGUAAAUUAUUUUGAUAUUUAGAAACUAUUCAUUAUUUUUGAAAGCAUCUUCACUUUACAGAAUGUUUUUACAUGUGCUUGAGACUUUUGCACAAUAAUAUAUAAAAGCAAAUUAAGUAAGUAGUACAAAAAGAGACCAAAAUAAUGAGAUAGUGUCCAUGGUUGGUUCAUUAUCUGUUCAGAAAUCUGAUGAUGGAGGGGAAGAAGCUGUUCCUAAAAUAUUAAGUGUGUGUCUUCAGGCUCCUGUACUUCCUUCCUGAUGUUAGCAAUGUGAAGAGAGCAUUACCUGGGUGAUGGGGGUCCUUAAUGAUGGACACCGCCUUUUUGAGGCAUCACCUUUUAAAGAUAUCCUUGAUGCUGGGGAGACUGGCGCCAAGGAUGGAAAUGGCUAAGAUUGCAACUCUUUGCAGUUUUUUUCCAAUCCUAUGCAGUGGCCACUCAAAACCAAACAGAUAUGCAGAAUGUUCUCCACGGUCCAUAUAGAAGCUAACUCUACUUGGAUUCCUUGAUGUCAUCAAGAGGAAGCAAGACCAAAAUCAAUAUUAGAUACUGAAUAUCGAGAGUUUUUUUUAUGAUUGUAUGGAGGAGUUUUUGGGAAUAGUGUGAGAGGUUGGUGGUCAGUUAGGGAUUAGGGAUAGGGAUGGGAGAGUAGAAUGUAGAGUUGGGGAAAGGAUCCAGGGGGAACGUUCAGGACAUAACGCUCCCAGUUUGGAGGCCAGUGAUCCCCAGGGGUGGAGCAUGUCAAGAUCUGUAGCUUCUGAGAACAAGGGCUGAUGAUUACCGAGGUCAACAAGUCCCAGGUUUGGAGGUCUGAGGUGGUCAGUUUGCUGGUCCUGCCCAUGAUUGACAAGUCCUGGGGUUGAAACCCAGAGUUUGGCGAAGUCAGAAGUUCAAGGCCCAGAAGUCUAGAAUGUCUGGAGAUCGGGCCCGGAGAUCAAAGUCCUGUGACAGGCGAUUCAUGGGGUCAAUAUCCAGAGGUUGCCAAAGUCCAGAUAUCGGCAAGUCUGGCAGUCGAAGCCUGAGGGUAGAAGUUCCUGGGUAGGCACGUCUGGAGGUUGGAACCCUGAUGUCCGCAAGUCCAGGCCAGGGAUUGGAUAAUACCAGAAGGCAUCCUUUUAAGGUGACUGGAGGAAUGUUUAGUGGAGAUGUUUGAGGCAUGUUUGUUUGGUUGGUUGUUUUUUUUUAAACAUAGUUAGUGCUGGGUGGCUGGAUUGCGAUGCCAGGGCUACUGGUAGAGGCUGAUACAUUAGGGACAUUUAAGAGUCCUUUGGUUAGUUAUGUGGAUGAAAAAGAAGAGGGUUCUGGGCUGUGUAGAAGGGAAGUGUUACGAGUGAUCUUCAAGUAGACUAAAAGAUCAAUGCAACAUUGUGGGCAGAAGGUCCCAUACUGUGCUGCAUUGUUCUAUGUUCUAAUUACAGAACCAAAGGCAGAAAGAGUCUGAGAUGGUAGCAGCAGUGAAGUGACUCAGAAUAGACAUUCUUCUGAAGAGUACUAUUGCAGCAAUAUUCUGAAGGUACAAUUGAAAAAUAAAACGCCAAGAAAUCGAUUAGCAAACAUGCUUCGAUGAAGCUAAGGGAAUGAUGGUGCAAGGUAGACAUGUAACACUGGGGAAGUCAGGAAAGAGGCAGAGGAAGCAAAUGGGAAUCUGCAUCCUGUCCUAAAAUUAAACACGAACUGUGUGAACUCUCUGCACUCAGAAUACAUAAUCACAUAAUCUGUGCUCAGCACCUGCAGACAACCACAUUGUGGAGAUUGCAACUCUGUUAGUAGGAGUAGUAUGUCAAUCAAACAAAACACGUAAGCUCCAAAAUAUCACACAAACCAGGGGAAAACAUGUAGCACAUUAAGCUUUAGGCAAUCUAUUUAGAGGCAUAGAGUCACUGAAGACUACAGAAAAGAAACAGACUCUUUGGCCUAUCUCAUCUAUGCCAAACUAUUAAUCUGCCUAGUCCCAUCAACCUGCACUUGGACCAAAGUCCUCUAUGUUCCCCCCCCCACCGCCCCAGGCAUAUACCUACCCACAUUUCCUGAAAUGACUGCUCAAUCAGAGCUCCAUGAGCCAGUACUCAUCAAAGGAUCAGAGCUGGAGAGAGUCAGCAACUUUAAAUUCUUCCGUGUUAUUAUUUCAGAGGGUCUGUCCCGGGCCCAGCACCAAACUGCAAUUAUGAAGAAAUUACGGCAGCGCCUCUGCUUACUCGGGAGUCUGCAAAGAUUUGGCAUGACAUCUAAAACUUUAACAAACUUCUAUAGAUGUGCAGUGAAGUGUAUAUUGACUGUCUGCAUCACCGCCUGAUAUGGAGACACCAAUACCCUUGAACAGAAAAUCCUACAAAAAGGAGUGGAUGCAGCCCAGUCCAUCAGGGGUAAAGCCUUCCCCACCAUAGAGCACAUGAAGCGCUGUCACAGGGAAGCAGCAUCCAUCAUCAGAGAUCCCCGCCACCCAGGACAUGCUCUCUUCUCGUUGCUGCCAUCAGGAAGAGGUACAGGAGCCUCAAGACUCAUUCCACCAGGUUCAGGGGACAGUUUCUACCCCUCAACCAUCAGGCUCUUGAUCCAAAGGGAACAACUUCACUCACCUUUGAAAUGUUCCCUCAAACAAUGGACUCUCUUUCAAGGGCUCUUCAUCUCAUGUUCUUAAUAUUUAUUGCUUAUUUAUUAUUAUUGUUAAUUCUUUCUCUUUGUAUUUGCACAGUUUGUUGUCUUUCACACACUGGUUGAACUCCCAAAUUGGUGUGGUCUUUCAUUGAUUCUGUUAUGGUUAUUACUCCAUGGAUUUAUUGAGUAUGCCCACAAGAAAAUGAAUCUCAGGACUUUUUAUAAUAAAUUUAUAUCACUUUGCUCAUUCUUUGGAACAGCACUCACCGUCUUUAAGAGAAAAAAAAAAUCAUCAAUUGGUUCAAUGAGUUACCAGAAGCCUGGACUAUGUUAAAAUGUCACGAGAGCUGCUGGGCAAUCUGAAUUCAGGGAAGGAAUCCUCCCAUCCUUUUUUGGACUGUGUCCCCUAAGUGAUUAGAUUCCCAGAACAAAGCGGUCGAUUAUUAACCAUAAUGACUAAGCAGGUCUGUGGUAUUAAACCAAAAUGUCUGAUCAAAAUAAAAAUAAAAUGAUACGAACAACUUAGCAUCAACUCAUGUGAAGAAGGUACAACUGCAUCAGGACACGCAGCACCAGGUUCAACAACAGUUGCUACCCCUCAAACACCAGGCUCUUGAACAAAAGAGGAUAACUACGCUCAUCUACUGAGAUGUUCCCACAACCAGUGAUCUCACAUUAAGAAUUCUUUACCUUGUUCUUUCAUGCUCUUGUUAUUUAUUACUACUUAUUUAUAUUUGCAUUUGUUGACAUCUAUGCUCUACCUGAUCUUUCAUUGAUCCUGUAAUAGUUACUAUUCUAUAGAUUUGCUGAGUAUGCCCACAGGAAAAAGAAUCUCAGGGUUGUAUGUGACGACAUAUGUGUACUCUGAUAAUAAAAUUUACUUUGAACUUUUGAACUUUGAAUUCAAAUGUCACUCAAUCCAAUCAAUUUGCAAAUUCCUUCUCAUGGAUAUCCAUUAAUGAGCUCCAAGAUGAAAAAGCUGUCUAACAGGACAGUGUUAACGGGUAAUCCAGCAACAAUUUUAUUCAUAGAAUUAUAUCCUUCAGUCAACAUCUAGAAUCACCUAUCACAAUCCUUGAGUGCAUUCUAUCGUUCGUUGGAUAAGUCCCAACAGCAGUGGAAAACAAUUGGAAAGGAAUGGAACUCUUCAAAUUGAUCAUGGACUCCAUGAAGUCUUGUAUUGUCAAACACAGCCAAGGAACUCUCCCAAAUGCCACGUACUGUUCUUGUCUGACUGAAUCAGUGCUCCCCCUGCAUUGAAGACUACUUGGUCCAGAAAUGUACUCUGGGUGAAGUUCAAUGCCUAUCAUCAAGAAUGGGCUGAGUAAACAGUAAGACUGAGUCCAUGACAGGUGGAAACGAAAGAACAUCAUUAACCUACUUGACUUAUGGACCUUGUUCUCAUCCACCUAUCUGUCAUACAUACCUCAGUCCACGAAAGAACUCAUACAAGUGACCUACCCACAUGCUAAUGUAACAGUUAUUCCAUUUAUUUUCACCAAGCAUUACCUCCAUUGUGUAAGAUGGUGCUACCAUUACACAAUGGGAUUCAUCUCAAACAGACCACAAAUAAAGGUAAAAAUGGACUCUGCCAGACUGUAACUUAUCCCUCGCUCUACCACUGCCAUCAAGCCAAGGGAGCAGCCCCGCUCAAUGAAGAGUCUAGAAGUUGAUGGUAGAUGUGAUAACAGACCUAUCCAAAAAGAGUGAGGUGGCAGCACAAUUACUAUGACUAAGUCCCCUGCCACCCACCUCCUGGAGGUCAGUAUUUCGCUAGAAACUCAAUAUGAUCCAACCAUACAUAUAUGUAUGUAUGUAUGUACAGAGAGAGAGAGCUAGGGCACCUAAGACUUUUGCGCAGUACUGUAGUAAUUUUGCAUAUUGUACUGUUCUGCUUCCACAACAAAAGAAAACAAAUUUCAUGACGUAUGUGAGUGAUGAUAAACCUGAUUCUGACACAGGUGCCUAUUGUGGACUGAGAGUGGGAAAAGGGCAGGAAGAAGGGAAUUUUGGUUGGGAAAAGGGGAAGGGAGAAGGGAGGGAGCAAGAAGCACCAGAGAGAUAUUCUGUAAUGAUCAAUUUAGCAAUUGUUUGGAAUCAAAUGACCUUGCCUGUUGUCUCAGGGCUGGGUGUGUCUGCACCCAUGCCACUCCCCACCCUAGCACUCCUUCUCUGCCACCUGUCCCAAACCCUUUCCCUGGUGCUCCACCUUGCCAUUCCCAACAUCGUCUGCUCCCACCAGAUUUGCAAACUCACUCUCCGCUCCAAGUUGACAAAUACAGUACUGUCUUUAGUACCCCAGCUAUAUAAGACUUUUGCACAGAACUGUAUAUUAUGGUUACAGAGGGUUAAUUUUCCUUGUGACAUUUUGGCGCCCCAAAACCUUUCAACCAGCUGCAAAGCAAAGUCAGGUCGUGUACUCUCCCCUUGCCUGGAUGAGUGUGAUGUGACUCCAUCAACAAGACCAUCCAGGACACAGAAGCCCACUGAUUGUCACACCAUAUAUUUGUUCCUUUCAUGACUUGUGCAUGGUCACCAGCAAACACAGCACAUUUCUUUUACAGAACAUUAAAAAAAAUAGCAGCAGGAGUAAGCCCUUUGGCCCCUCAAGCCUGCUAAUCUACAACAGGCCUCAACUCCUACUCUGUACCAGAUCCCUGCAGCCCUCAAUCCCCCAUUCUUUCAAAAAAUACAUCUUCCUCCACUUUACAUUACAAAGCCCUCACUGCUUACACAUACACACAUAAGCAAUUUGCACUUCUGUCUUAUUUUGGCACACUGGUUGUUUAUCAGUCUUUGUUUAUGUAUAGUUUUCACAAAUUUUAUUGUAUUUACUUUAACUUUAAAUUAUUUUAAUGAGCCAGACUCCAAACCCCUUGAGAAGUCCAGAGGUUCAGCACUUUUGAAAAGUGUCACAGAAUCUUUAGAUUUCCUUCAUCUCCACCACAUCUGGUACAAGGAUGAGGCUCUCCUUUCGAGGACAUCAGAGAUGUCCUCCUUCUUCACAGAAUGAGGUUUCCCUUCUUCCACCAUUGACACUGCCCUCACUCACAUCUCCUCCAUCCCCCAAACAUCCACACUCACCCCAUCUUCCUGCCAUUUUAACAAUGAUAGAGUUCCCCUUACCCUUGCCUACAACCUAUGAGCCUCCACAUCCAACACAUCAUCUUCUGCAACUUCUACCAUCUCCAAAGGGAUCUUACCACCAAACAUAUCUUUACCACUCUCCCUCUCUCUGCUUUCCACAGGGAUUGCUCCCUCCAUGAUUCACAUGUCCAUCCGUCCCUCACACUAAUCUCCCUCCUGGCAUUUAUCUCUGCAAGCGGCCAUUCACUUCGUCCCUCAUUUCCAUUCAAGGCCCAUUAGUCCUUGUAGGUGAAGCAACAUGACACCUGCAAGUUUACUGGGGUUGUCUAUUGUGUCUACUGCUCCCGAUGUGGCCUCCCCUACAUUUGCGAGACCCGUUGUAAGUGGGAGGACCGCUUUGCCAAGCACCUCCACUCCACCUGCCGAAAGUGAAACUUCCAGAUGGCCAAACAUUUUAAUUCCAAUUCCCAUUCCAACACGUCGGUCUGUUGCCUCCUCUUGUGCCAGACGAGGCCACUCACCAAGGUGGAAGAGCAACACAUUAUUUUCCAUCUGGGUAGCCUCCAACCUGAUGGCAUGAAUAUCAAUUUCUCCUUCUAGUAAAAAAACAUUUUCUUCUGCCUCCUCUCUUCUUCU